Molecule: ribosomal RNA, 91 nt
Filed under: Candidatus Palibaumannia cicadellinicola
Lineage: Bacteria; Pseudomonadati; Pseudomonadota; Gammaproteobacteria
Source: RNAcentral
CACCUGAUACCAUACCGAACUCAGAAGUGAAAUACCGUAGCGCCGAUGGUAGUGUGGGGUUUCCCCAUGUGAGAGUAGGAAAUUGCCAGGC